Molecule: long non-coding RNA, 752 nt
Organism: Bacillus rossius redtenbacheri
Lineage: Eukaryota; Metazoa; Arthropoda; Insecta; Phasmatodea; Bacillidae
Exons: 2
Source: RefSeq, a predicted model, not a curated record
GUUUCACCCCCAUAGAUCGACAUGCCCUUCGGGCUGGUUCGUACAUGUUCGGUUUUUUUUUUUUUUUUUUAUCUGUACGUUCAAAACAAACAUUGCAAUAUUGAUCAAAAAAUUGUUGACUAAUGUUAUUUUAUAUUUUUUUAAGAGUAAAACACAUGUACACAAAUAUUUCCUUUUACUAUUUAUGAGAUUUUCAGGUAAGUUAUUGAGCUAUUUCUGUUUGAUUUGUUAGGAGAUUAGUUUUGUCCGUUUACAAGUUAACAUUGCUUGUGUUAUUCUUGGCAAGUAAUCAUUUCUUAUAUAAAUUUUUGUACACUAUAGGCUUAUCUUUUUAAAUUUUAGGUAGCGUGUGGAGAUUUCAUCUUAUGUUCAUGAGCGCACAACGUAUAAAAUAUAAAAUCAUAAGAAAUGUUUUCUGGUGGUGUGUAGCAGUUAACCGCAUUUAAGUAAAAGUAUUUUAAAAUGAUUGUUACCAGAGCUGAAUUACAUUGAGGCUUGUGGAGAACAGCUUUUUUUUAAUCUACUCUUUGGCUGGCGAAUGUAAAUAAGCAAUGAUUUCGUGAAUGCAGCGAGAGAGUUUAUUUGAUGUAUUUUAAAAUCACUGAUAAUAUUUAUUGAUGUAUUUUAAAAUCACUGAUAAUAUUUAUUGAUGUAUUUUAAAAUCACUGAUAAUAUUUGUUUUGUGGCUGGAAGAUGGUAACCAUGGUGACUUGUGAAUUUUUAUGAAGAUUAAUAAAAAGCAGUAAAAAUUA